CCUACGGGUGGCAGCAGUAGGGAAUCUUCCACAAUGGGCGAAAGCCUGAUGGAGCAACGCCGCGUGGGUGAAGAAGGUCUUCGGAUCGUAAAACCCUGUUGUUAGAGAAGAAAGUGCGUGAGCGUAACUGUUCACGUUUCGACGGUAUCUAACCAGAAAGCGACGGCUAACUACGUGCCAGCAGCCGCGGUAAUACGUAGGUGGCAAGCGUUAUCCGGAUGGAUUGGGCGUAAAGGGAACGCAGGCGGUCUUUUAAGCCAGAUGUGAAAGCCUUGGGCUUAACCGGAGUAGUGCAUUGGAAACUGGGAGACUGGAGUGCAGAAGAGGAGGGUGGAACUCCAGGUGUAGCGGUGAAAUGCGUAGAUAGAAGGAAGAACACCAGUGGCGAAAGCGGCUCUCUGGUCUGUAACUGACGCUGAGGUUCGAAAGCGUGGGUAGCAAACAGGAUUAGAUACCCGAGUAGUC
This 465-nucleotide ribosomal RNA is filed under the name uncultured bacterium. RNAcentral describes it as "partial 16S ribosomal RNA". It matches the Rfam family "Bacterial small subunit ribosomal RNA", at positions 338 to 795 of the family's 1533-position model. The record is from RNAcentral.